GCCGCCGUGGUGAAAUGGCAUACACGACAGACUUAAGAUCUGUUGCUCGCAAGAGCGUGUCGGUUCGAGUCCGACCGGCGGCA
Molecule: transfer RNA, 83 nt
Filed under: Patescibacteria group bacterium
Lineage: Bacteria
Description: tRNA-Leu
Rfam family: tRNA
About the family: Transfer RNA (tRNA) molecules are approximately 80 nucleotides in length. Their secondary structure includes four short double-helical elements and three loops (D, anti-codon, and T loops).
Source: RNAcentral